Chelonia mydas (Green sea turtle) is the source of this 982-nucleotide long non-coding RNA. RefSeq lists it as uncharacterized. The transcript has 4 exons. Lineage: Eukaryota; Metazoa; Chordata; Testudines; Cheloniidae. The record is from RefSeq and is a predicted model, not a curated record.
AAAUUGGAUACAAUUAACUUAGGCUUGAAUAGAGACUGGAAGUGGCUAACUCAUUAUGCAAGCUUUGUCUCCAGCUGCCGCAGAUUCUCCUGGUAGCUGCGGUCCUGGUCCUCCAGCUUCUGCUGCAGCUCAGCCUCCUUCUGCUUCAGGACCUCCUGCUCCCGCUCAGCCGCCUCGGCCCGGGCUCGCUCGGCUGGGACAGGGAGAGAGAGCUCCAGCAGGGUGGCCGUGCAGCGGUCCGAGGAUGCCAGCUCAUUGCGCCGGCAGAGCUCCUGCUUCUGCUCCUCCAGGCGGCGCUGCCAGAUACACCUGGGGAACGCCCACCGGACAAGACGUUUUCAGUCUAGACAGUGGGUGGGGAAGGGCCUAUUCAGGGCAAUGGGCCACUAGGAAAAAACAACAGGCCUUAGGAGAAGUUUAUCUCCCACCUGGGGAGCCUUCCUGAGAACCCUACACACAGCCUCCAAAUACUGACUGCUGUGACUCUCCAAGGACCUGUGACAAGACCACAUGAUGCUGGUCUCCAUCUUGGGAUGUCAGGGUUUUCCCACAGACUGGUCUGAGAAUCAUGUUUUGGAACAAAGGGCUCCCGCCAGAUGUAAAAGCUACAUAAGGCAGGGAGUGGCGUCAUCUGGGGUUCUUCACUCCCCACCCAAAGAGACUCCUGGAAACACCUGAGGAGCAAAGACUGAACUGGGGGAAGUGCUGGGCCCAGGCUGAAGGGGUUUCUGGCCUGGGGAUGGAGCACCUGGGGAUUCCAAGCUGUCAGCAAGUGCAGCUUGUCACUUAAGGAUCUGCAGCCGGCUUGUAUCAUCCCUUAGGGUGAGAGUCUGCGAAUUCAGAUCCAAUCUCUUUAGUGUAUUAACUUAGUUUGCGGUUUUGUUUAUUUGCUAGGUAAUCUGCUUUGAUCUGUUUGCUUUCACUUAUAAUCACUUAAAAUCGACCUUUUGUAGUUAAUAAACUUGUUUUUGCUUUAUCUAAA